GAACGCUGGCGGCGUGCCUAAUACAUGCAAGUCGAGCGGACCGAYGGGAGCUUGCUCCCUUAGGUCAGCGGCGGACGGGUGAGUAACACGUGGGUAACCUGCCUGUAAGACUGGGAUAACUCCGGGAAACCGGGGCUAAUACCGGAUGCUUGAUUGAACCGCAUGGUUCAAUCAUAAAAGGUGGCUUUYAGCUACCACUUACAGAUGGACCCGCGGCGCAUUAGCUAGUUGGUGAGGUAACGGCUCACCAAGGCGACGAUGCGUAGCCGACCUGAGAGGGUGAUCGGCCACACUGGGACUGAGACACGGCCCAGACUCCUACGGGAGGCAGCAGUAGGGAAUCUUCCGCAAUGGACGAAAGUCUGACGGAGCAACGCCGCGUGAGUGAUGAAGGUUUUCGGAUCGUAAAACUCUGUUGUUAGGGAAGAACAAGUACCGUUCGAAUAGGGCGG
RNAcentral lists this ribosomal RNA (452 nucleotides) under Bacillus sp. R-27345. RNAcentral's name for it is "bacterial SSU rRNA". It matches the Rfam family "Bacterial small subunit ribosomal RNA", at positions 31 to 475 of the family's 1533-position model. The record is from RNAcentral. Lineage: Bacteria; Bacillati; Bacillota; Bacilli; Caryophanales; Bacillaceae.